RNAcentral lists this ribosomal RNA (447 nucleotides) under uncultured bacterium. RNAcentral describes it as "partial 16S ribosomal RNA". It matches the Rfam family "Bacterial small subunit ribosomal RNA", at positions 29 to 523 of the family's 1533-position model. The record is from RNAcentral.
AACGAACGCUGGCGGCAGGCUUAACACAUGCAAGUCGAGCGCCCCGCAAGGGGAGCGGCAGACGGGUGAGUAACGCGUGGGAAUCUACCGUGCCCUACGGAAUAGCUCCGGGAAACUGGAAUUAAUACCGUAUACGCCCUACGGGGGAAAGAUUUAUCGGGGUAUGAUGAGCCCGCGUUGGAUUAGCUAGUUGGUGGGGUAAAGGCCUACCAAGGCGACGAUCCAUAGCUGGUCUGAGAGGAUGAUCAGCCACAUUGGGACUGAGACACGGCCCAAACUCCUACGGGAGGCAGCAGUGGGGAAUAUUGGACAAUGGGCGCAAGCCUGAUCCAGCCAUGCCGCGUGAGUGAUGAGGGUCUUAGGAUUGUAAAGCUCUUUCACCGGUGAAGAUAAUGACGGUAACCGGAGAAGAAACCCCGGCUAACUUCGUGCCAGCCGCCGCGGUAA